Molecule: ribosomal RNA, 498 nt
Filed under: uncultured bacterium
Lineage: Bacteria
Description: partial 16S ribosomal RNA
Rfam family: Bacterial small subunit ribosomal RNA
Source: RNAcentral
AUUGAACGCUGGCGGCAUGCCUUACACAUGCAAGUCGAACGGUAACAGGUCUUCGGAUGCUGACGAGUGGCGAACGGGUGAGUAAUACAUCGGAACGUGCCUAGUAGUGGGGGAUAACUACUCGAAAGAGUGGCUAAUACCGCAUGAGAUCUACGGAUGAAAGCAGGGGAUCGCAAGACCUUGUGCUACUAGAGCGGCCGAUGGCAGAUUAGGUAGUUGGUGGGAUAAAAGCUUACCAAGCCGACGAUCUGUAGCUGGUCUGAGAGGACGAUCAGCCACACUGGGACUGAGACACGGCCCAGACUCCUACGGGAGGCAGCAGUGGGGAAUUUUGGACAAUGGGCGCAAGCCUGAUUCAGCAAUGCCGCGUGCAGGAUGAAGGCCUUCGGGUUGUAAACUGCUUUUGUACGGAACGAAAAGCCCCGGGUUAAUACCCUGGGGUCAUGACGGUAAUCAACGAAUAAGAGCUUGCUAACUACGUGCCAGCAGCCGCCGUAA